ACUGAUUUGGCAGAAUUUAGUGCAUUAAAUUUAGAAUUUAUUUAUAUAAUUAAUUUUAUAUUCAGUAA
RNAcentral lists this transfer RNA (68 nucleotides) under Aphrophora alni (alder spittlebug). RNAcentral's name for it is "tRNA-Leu". Lineage: Eukaryota; Metazoa; Arthropoda; Insecta; Hemiptera; Aphrophoridae. The record is from RNAcentral.